UUAAAUUGAAGAGUUUGAUCAUGGCUCAGAUUGAACGCUGGCGGCAGGCCUAACACAUGCAAGUCGAACGGUAACAGGAAGCAGCUUGCUGCUUUGCUGACGAGUGGCGGACGGGUGAGUAAUGUCUGGGAAACUGCCUGAUGGAGGGGGAUAACUACUGGAAACGGUGGCUAAUACCGCAUAACGUCGCAAGACCAAAGAGGGGGACCUUCGGGCCUCUUGCCAUCAGAUGUGCCCAGAUGGGAUUAGCUUGUUGGUGAGGUAACGGCUCACCAAGGCGACGAUCCCUAGCUGGUCUGAGAGGAUGACCAGCCACACUGGAACUGAGACACGGUCCAGACUCCUACGGGAGGCAGCAGUGGGGAAUAUUGCACAAUGGGCGCAAGCCUGAUGCAGCCAUGCCGCGUGUAUGAAGAAGGCCUUCGGGUUGUAAAGUACUUUCAGCGGGGAGGAAGGUGUUGUGGUUAAUAACCACAGCAAUUGACGUUACCCGCAGAAGAAGCACCGGCUAACUCCGUGCCAGCAGCCGCGGUAAUACGGAGGGUGCAAGCGUUAAUCGGAAUUACUGGGCGUAAAGCGCACGCAGGCGGUCUGUCAAGUCGGAUGUGAAAUCCCCGGGCUCAACCUGGGAACUGCAUUCGAAACUGGCAGGCUUGAGUCUUGUAGAGGGGGGUGGAAUUCCAGGUGUAGCGGUGAAAUGCGUAGAGAUCUGGAGGAAUACCGGUGGCGAAGGCGGCCCCCUGGACAAAGACUGACGCUCAGGUGCGAAAGCGUGGGGAGCAAACAGGAUUAGAUACCCUGGUAGUCCACGCCGUAAACGAUGUCUACUUGGAGGUUGUGCCCUUGAGGCGUGGCUUCCGGAGCUAACGCGUUAAGUAGACCGCCUGGGGAGUACGGCCGCAAGGUUAAAACUCAAAUGAAUUGACGGGGGCCCGCACAAGCGGUGGAGCAUGUGGUUUAAUUCGAUGCAACGCGAAGAACCUUACCUGGUCUUGACAUCCACGGAAGUUUUCAGAGAUGAGAAUGUGCCUUCGGGAACCGUGAGACAGGUGCUGCAUGGCUGUCGUCAGCUCGUGUUGUGAAAUGUUGGGUUAAGUCCCGCAACGAGCGCAACCCUUAUCCUUUGUUGCCAGCGAUUAGGUCGGGAACUCAAAGGAGACUGCCAGUGAUAAACUGGAGGAAGGUGGGGAUGACGUCAAGUCAUCAUGGCCCUUACGACCAGGGCUACACACGUGCUACAAUGGCGCAUACAAAGAGAAGCGACCUCGCGAGAGCAAGCGGACCUCAUAAAGUGCGUCGUAGUCCGGAUUGGAGUCUGCAACUCGACUCCAUGAAGUCGGAAUCGCUAGUAAUCGUGGAUCAGAAUGCCACGGUGAAUACGUUCCCGGGCCUUGUACACACCGCCCGUCACACCAUGGGAGUGGGUUGCAAAAGAAGUAGGUAGCUUAACCUUCGGGAGGGCGCUUACCACUUUGUGAUUCAUGACUGGGGUGAAGUCGUAACAAGGUAACCGUAGGGGAACCUGCGGUUGGAUCACCUCCUUACCUGAAAGAA
This 1554-nucleotide ribosomal RNA is filed under the name Salmonella enterica subsp. enterica serovar Weslaco str. 247K. RNAcentral's name for it is "bacterial SSU rRNA". It matches the Rfam family "Bacterial small subunit ribosomal RNA". The record is from RNAcentral. Lineage: Bacteria; Pseudomonadati; Pseudomonadota; Gammaproteobacteria; Enterobacterales; Enterobacteriaceae.